This 399-nucleotide ribosomal RNA is filed under the name uncultured bacterium. RNAcentral describes it as "bacterial SSU rRNA". It matches the Rfam family "Bacterial small subunit ribosomal RNA", at positions 356 to 773 of the family's 1533-position model. The record is from RNAcentral.
GGGGAAUAUUGGACAAUGGGCGCAAGCCUGAUCCAGCAAUGCCGCGUGUGUGAAGAAGGUCUCGGAUUGUAAAGCACUUUCGGCGGGGACGAUGAUGACGGUACCCGCAGAAGAAGCCCCGGCUAACUUCGUGCCAGCAGCCGCGGUAAUACGAAGGGGGCUAGCGUUGCUCGGAAUGACUGGGCGUAAAGGGCGCGUAGGCGGUUUGUACAGUCAGGUGUGAAAUUCCCGGGCUCAACCUGGGGGCUGCACUUGAUACGUAUGGACUGGAGUGGGGAAGAGGGUCGUGGAAUUCCCAGUGUAGAGGUGAAAUUCGUAGAUAUUGGGAAGAACACCGGUGGCGAAGGCGGCGACCUGGUCCUUGACUGACGCUGAGGUGCGAAAGCGUGGGGAGCAAAC